UGGGGAAUAUUGGACAAUGGGGGCAACCCUGAUCCAGCGAUGCCGCGUGUGUGAAGAAGGCCUGCGGGUUGUAAAGCACUUUCGGUGGUGAGGAUUGCGGAGAAGGUUAAUAGCUUUUUUCGUUGACGUUAGCCACAUAAGAAGCACCGGCAAACUCUGUGCCAGCAGCCGCGGUAAUACAGAGGGUGCAAGCGUUAAUCGGAAUUACUGGGCGUAAAGGGCGCGUAGGUGGAUUAAUAAGUCAGAUGUGAAAGCCCCGGGCUUAACCUGGGAAUUGCAUAUGAUACUGUUAGUCUAGAGUAGAGUAGAGGGCAGUGGAAUUUCCGGUGUAGCGGUGAAAUGCGUAGAUAUCGGAAGGAACACCAGUGGCGAAGGCGGCUGCCUGGACUCUAACUGACGCUGAGGCGCGAAAGCGUGGGGAGCAAAGAGGAUUAGAUACCCCCGUAGUCC
Molecule: ribosomal RNA, 450 nt
Filed under: uncultured bacterium
Lineage: Bacteria
Description: bacterial SSU rRNA
Rfam family: Bacterial small subunit ribosomal RNA
Source: RNAcentral